Molecule: ribosomal RNA, 505 nt
Filed under: uncultured Anaerolineaceae bacterium
Lineage: Bacteria; Bacillati; Chloroflexota; Anaerolineae; Anaerolineales; Anaerolineaceae
Description: bacterial SSU rRNA
Rfam family: Bacterial small subunit ribosomal RNA
Source: RNAcentral
AGAGUUUGAUCAUGGCUCAGGAUGAACGCUGGCGGCGUGCUUAAUACAUGCAAGUCGAACGGAGGACUUUUGUAGUAAUACAGAGGUUUCUCAGUGGCGAACGGGCGAGUAACGAGUUGGUGACCUGCCCCGAAGUGUGGGAUAACAGUCCGAAAGGAUUGCUAAUACCUCAUGUGAUUAUCAGGUUUAGAAACUGAUAAUUAAAGCAGUAAUGCGCUUCGGGAGGGACCUGCUUCCCAUCAGCUAGUUGGUGAGGUAAUGGCCCACCAAGGCUACGACGGGUAUGGGACCUGAGAGGGUGGUCCCACGCAAUGGCACUGAAACACGGGCCAUACACCUACGGGUGGCAGCAGUAGGGAAUAUUGGGCAAUGGGCGAAAGCCUGACCCAGCAACGCCGCGUGCACGAUGAAGGCCUUCGGGUCGUAAAGUGCUUUUCUGAGGGAUGAGUAAGGACAGUACCUCAGGAAUAAGCCUCGGCUAACUACGUGCCAGCCGCCGCGGUAA